GAAUAAGCAUGUGGCUUAAUUUGACCCAACGCGGGAAAUCUUACCGGGUCCGGACACACUGAGGAUUGACAGGUUUUAUCGUAUUCCCUCCGGGGAUUACGUGCUAAAAAUGCUAGUCCUUUCAUGAUUAUGUGAUAGGUGGUGCAUGGCCGUUCUUAGUUCGUGGAGUGAUCUGUCUGCUUAAUUGCGUUUCAUUAUGAAUUUACAACUAACGUAUGUUUGCGAGGUAGCGUUGAUCCCUCCCUCUGGGAGCCGUGUGUCUUCCUACCAUCACCGCAUCAUACUCAGUAAAUUCUGAAAGCAACGAACGUGACCG
This 316-nucleotide ribosomal RNA is filed under the name Foraminifera environmental sample. Its description in RNAcentral is "SSU rRNA". It matches the Rfam family "Eukaryotic small subunit ribosomal RNA", at positions 1180 to 1343 of the family's 1831-position model. The record is from RNAcentral. Lineage: Eukaryota; Foraminifera.